RNA transcript from Mangifera indica (mango), 3480 nucleotides. It is a transcript of the gene named pentatricopeptide repeat-containing protein At2g27610-like, with no coding region annotated. Lineage: Eukaryota; Viridiplantae; Streptophyta; Magnoliopsida; Sapindales; Anacardiaceae. The transcript is spliced from 2 exons. The record is from RefSeq and is a predicted model, not a curated record.
GGGUAAACUUUUGGCGUUAGGGUGGAACAGUGAUUUGGCUUAACAUAAACCCCACAGCCCAUAAUCACCAGAAGCCCUGCAAUAUUUUCUAAUGUUUGGUUUAGACAUGUUGUUCUGAAUGUCACUCUCUCGUCUUCUGCGCCACUUGGGCGAUACAAAAUGCAUUCCCAAAGGCCGAGCACUUCACGCCAAUAUCAUCACAUCUGGAUUUCACCCAGAUGUUUACGCAAACAACCAUUUACUGUUGAUGUACAUUAAAGUCAACCGAAUGGAAGACGCUCAGAAGAUGUUCGAUAGAAUGCCUGAACGAAAUGUCAUAUCUUGGAGUGCCUUAAUUUCCAGCUUUUCUCAAAAGCAUAUGCCCAAUACAGCGUUAUUUUACUUUCGGUUGAUGGUUUUUCAUGGGUUUGAACCGAAUUAUUACACUUAUGUUGGGGCUGUUUCUGCUUGUGCAAGUAUAAGUGAUGGGAGAACUGGUAAGGAGAUUCACGGGAAAUUAUAUCGGAGUGGAUUGGAGUUGAAUAGUCAUGUUAGUAACUGUUUGGUUAAUAUGUAUGGGAAAUGUGGUUUGUUGAGGUCGGCGCAAUUUGUUUUUGAUGCAACUUUGGAGCCAAAUUUGGUUUCUUGGACUUCGCUGUUGUCAAGUUAUUGCCAGCAUGGAGAACAUGUACAUAGUUUGAAUCUUUUUGUGUUGUCGAGGAAGGCUGGAGUGGUUUUUAAUGAGUUUUCUGGUGCUAGUGUAUUGGGUGCUUGUGCUGCAUUGGGGAACUUGAAGGUUGGGAUACAAGUUCAUUCGUUAGUGUUGAAGUGUUGUCUUGAGUUUGAUAAAUUUAUUGUCACAGGUUUGAUUAAUUUGUAUUCAAAGUGUGGAGAAUUGGAAAUGGCUUGUAGGGUGUUUUUGGGGUUAGAGCAGCCAGACUUGUCAGCUUGGAGUACAUUGAUAGGAGGAUAUGUUCAAUUUGGCAAAGCAGGAGAAGCUAUUGAUCUUUUUGUCAAGUUGUAUUCUUCAGGCCUUACACCUAGUGAACGGACAUUUUCAUGUGUGCUUGGAGCCUUUGCAGAUACAAAGGAUGUUGAAGCUGGGAAACAACUUCAUUCUUUGAUAAUUAAAACAGGAUGCAGUUCGUUUACAUUUGUUAAUAAUGCAGUUUUGGACUUCUACUCAAAAUGCGGACUUCUUGAGGAGUCGAUGAAAAUCUUUGAAGAAAUGGAUGAGCAUGAUAUCGUCUCAUGGAAUGCCCUUAUAUCGGGACAUGUUGGAUUAGGUCAUUAUGAAGAGGCCAUUGAGCAUCUGAAUAAUAUGCUUUCUGAUGGACAUUAUCCUAAUCUUUAUACUUAUUCUAGCAUUUUGAAUAUUUGUAGUGAUGUCCCAGCUAUUGGAUGGGGCAAGCAAACCCAUUGCUGCAUUAUAAAACCCGGAUUUGUUUCUAAUGUAGUUGUUGGAACUGCUCUCAUAGACAUGUAUGCAAAAUGCGGAAAAUUGCUUGACGCUCGUAAAGUUUUUGAUUUUCUAAAUUCUAAGAACUUGGUUUCUUGGAAUACUAUGCUUGUGGGAUAUGCUCAACAUGGAUUAGGGAGGGAAGCAUUAGAAAUUUAUAGCUUGAUGCAGAGAAAUAAGAUCAAACCCAAUGAUAUUACAUUUAUUGGGGUAUUAUCUGCCUGUGGAAACAUGGGACUUGUGGAGGAAGGAUGGCAUCAUUUCAAUUCCAUGAUCACUGACCACUUUAUUGCCCCAAGGAUGGAUCAUAUGGCAGUUAUGGUCAGUCUUUUUGCCCGUAGUGGACAGACAGGAAGAGCUUAUGAAUUUAUAAAGAGUUUUCCUAUAGAACCUGAUAAAGUGGUUUGGCGAUGUCUCUUGUCAGGUUGCAAAACCCACAAAGAUGUAGUUCUGGGAAGAUAUGCUGCAGAGAAGAUUUUGAGUAUUGAUCCAGAAGAUGCUGCAGCUCUUAUCAUGCUGUCAAAUGUGUAUGCAGAAGCUAAAAUGUGGGAUGAAACUGCCCAAGUGAGAAAAAUAAUGAAAGAAAAAGCAUUGAAGAAAGAUACUGGAUAUAGCUGGACUGAGCUUAAGAACAAAAUACAUUAUUUUUCUGCAAGUCAUUAUGCACAAUUUCAAGGAAUUAACCUGUGUGAAAUUAUGCAUGGUUUGACAGCACACUUGUUUGAUUCAGGAUAUGAACCUGACGCCAUCUUCUCACUCCACUUUGAGUAAGCCUAGAAGUUUGAAGGGUAAAUAUUUGGUGACAAUACAUUUCACUUAAAUUGCUCGUUGCAUGUGAUAAAAUAUGCCCACAUGAAUUCAUUGUAGCUGAUAUCUAUGUCAAUAAUAGUUGACAUGCAAAGUAGAGCAACAAGUUAGAAGUAUAGAUAACUCUUAGACAUGAGGUCAAAUUAGGCUGCAUAACUUUGUUAAGGAUUUGUUAUCAGCAGGAAUUUCAGAGGUUUGUUGUGUUGCAGCAUUCCUGGGUGGGAGGUUAACAUAUUCCAGAGCUUGUGUUCUUAAAUUCUGAGGGUAAUCGGCAACACACCAAUUUUUGGUCCUGCUUCUGUUGACCAUUUCAAAAAUAGAUGGUUCCCUAAUUGGUAUGAACUGGUUUCCUUUUAGCUUUCAAUCCUGUGCAAGAUCUUCUUGCAGAAUUUCUGUUUUCACUGCUCUCAUUAUCUUCAGUUCGUGAAAAUACCUAUCAAAAAUGGGAGAAGUCAGAACAAGCUGAAGAGAAAAAGUUUAGCAUCUGGUAGAAUUUUAGAGCACUGUUCAGGGUGGAAAAAAGGAAAAAAAGUUUAUAUUGAUAAAAUUAUGACCCCUAAUAGUCUGAAAACUUAAAAAAGCUCAGUCUAAUUCCUACAAAUAUUGUUCGCCUGUAUUUCUGCACUGUUGAAAUGGCUUCCUCGGUAGUAUAUUCAUUGAACCAGAUGUUAUGAGUUGCUUACCUGAGCUUCAACAACACUGAUUCCAUUCUUCUUUAGGAGGCCGAAGAAGCAGCUAAGGUUUUCAUUUGUUGGAAGAAAAGAACAUGUCCAUGAUGCAGUUGCAAGACAUGUUUAACUCUACAGCAAUCCUGAAUACAAGCUGAAAUAUGAAGUGCAUAGGCAUAUUAUCUCCUAUACAACUUUAAUAAUUAAUAGGGAAGCAAUGUUUGAAGUCGUCUUUUUCUCUGCUAUUGACUUUUUUUAAUCCUCAUUGGACACAUCAGUGAAAGGGUAAGUGAUACAGACUUGGUGAGUGAGAGAUUUCAACCCAGAGAAGAGAAGGCUCCUACCAGAUACCAGCUCCAGACUAUAACUCUCUUAGAACCAGUAUGUUACACAAUAUAGUCGGAAUAGCUCCAAUGUAACAGUGCAAUGUAAAUCACUCAAUGUAAUAGAAUUCCUAGAAUUAAUAUAUAUUCAUUUUAUUCAGCAAUUUAGUUACAAUUACAAAAACAUUUUUCUAAUUCAGUGUUACAAUAUUGAUUUCCAGAAAAUUACACAAAACAAUAAUCA